UUCCGGUUGAUCCCGCCGGACCCGACCGCUAUCGGGAUAAUGCUAAGCCAUGGGAGUCGAACGCCCCCGGCCACGUGGGGGCGUGGCGUACGGCUCAGUAGCACACGGCUAAUCUACCCUUGGGAGGAGUAUAACCCCGGGAAACUGGGGCUAAUACUACAUAGACGAGCAACCCUGGAAUGGGUGCUCAUCGAAAGGGCGCGGAGGCAUGCCUCUGCGUCGCCCAAGGAUGAGGCUGUGUUCCAUCAGGUAGUUGGCGAGGUAACGGCUCGCCAAGCCGAUAACGGAUGCGGGCAGUGAGAGCUGGAGCCCGGAGAUGGGCACUGAGACAAGGGCCCAGGUCCUACGGGGCGCACCAGGCGAGAAACCUUAGCAAUGCGGGAAACCGUGACUGGGCUAUCCCGAGUGCCAGCCGCUAAGGCUGGCUUUUACCCAGAGUAAAAACCUGGGGGAAUAAGCGGGGGGCAAGACUGGUGUCAGCCGCCGCGGUAAUACCAGC
RNAcentral lists this ribosomal RNA (499 nucleotides) under uncultured crenarchaeote. Its description in RNAcentral is "bacterial SSU rRNA". It matches the Rfam family "Archaeal small subunit ribosomal RNA", at positions 1 to 480 of the family's 1478-position model. Lineage: Archaea; Thermoproteati; Thermoproteota. The record is from RNAcentral.